Molecule: ribosomal RNA, 497 nt
Filed under: uncultured bacterium
Lineage: Bacteria
Description: partial 16S ribosomal RNA
Rfam family: Bacterial small subunit ribosomal RNA
Source: RNAcentral
GAUGAACGCUGGCGGCGUGCCUAAUACAUGCAAGUCGAGCGAACAGACGAGGAGCUUGCUCCUCUGACGUUAGCGGCGGACGGGUGAGUAACACGUGGAUAACCUACCUAUAAGACUGGGAUAACUUCGGGAAACCGGAGCUAAUACCGGAUAAUAUAUUGAACCGCAUGGUUCAAUAGUGAAAGACGGUUUUGCUGUCACUUAUAGAUGGAUCCGCGCCGCAUUAGCUAGUUGGUAAGGUAACGGCUUACCAAGGCAACGAUGCGUAGCCGACCUGAGAGGGUGAUCGGCCACACUGGAACUGAGACACGGUCCAGACUCCUACGGGAGGCAGCAGUAGGGAAUCUUCCGCAAUGGGCGAAAGCCUGACGGAGCAACGCCGCGUGAGUGAUGAAGGUCUUCGGAUCGUAAAACUCUGUUAUUAGGGAAGAACAAAUGUGUAAGCAACUAUGCACGUCUUGACGGUACCUAAUCAGAAAGCCACGGCUAGCUACGUG